AUACUUACCUGGCCGGGGAGAUACCAUGAUCAGGAAGGUGGUUCAGCCAGGGUGGGGCUCAGCCAGUGCACUGCAUUGUGCUGAUCCCUGCGAAUUCCCCAAAUGUGGGAAUCUCCACUGCAUAAUUUCUGGUAGUGGGGGUUGCAUUCGUGCUCUCCCCUG
RNAcentral lists this small nuclear RNA (162 nucleotides) under Paramormyrops kingsleyae. RNAcentral describes it as "U1 spliceosomal RNA (ENSPKIG00000003993.1)". It matches the Rfam family "U1 spliceosomal RNA". Rfam says of the family: U1 is a small nuclear RNA (snRNA) component of the spliceosome (involved in pre-mRNA splicing). Its 5' end forms complementary base pairs with the 5' splice junction, thus defining the 5' donor site of an intron. The record is from RNAcentral. Lineage: Eukaryota; Metazoa; Chordata; Actinopteri; Osteoglossiformes; Mormyridae.